AGUCGAGGGGUAUAGGCUUUCGGCCCUAGAGACCGGCGCACGGGUGCGUAACGCGUAUGCAAUCUACCUUUCACAGAGGGAUAGCCCAGAGAAAUUUGGAUUAAUACCUCAUGGUAUAUAGAAGUGGCAUCACUUUUAUAUUAAAGUCACAACGGUGAAAGAUGAGCAUGCGUCCCAUUAGCUAGUUGGUAAGGUAACGGCUUACCAAGGCGACGAUGGGUAGGGGUCCUGAGAGGGAGAUCCCCCACACUGGUACUGAGACACGGACCAGACUCCUACGGGAGGCAGCAGUGAGGAAUAUUGGUCAAUGGGCGCAAGCCUGAACCAGCCAUGCCGCGUGCAGGAUGAAGCAUCUAUGGUGUGUAAACUGCUUUUGUACGGGAAGAAACAGAGGUUCGUGAACCUCCUUGACGGUACCGUAAGAAUAAGGAUCGGCUAACUCCGUGCCAGCAGCCGCGGUAAUACGGAGGAUCCAAGCGUUAUCCGGAAUCAUUGGGUUUAAAGGGUCCGUAGGCGGUUUAGUAAGUCAGUGGUGAAAGCCCAUCGCUCAACGGUGGAACGGCCAUUGAUACUGCUAGACUUGAAUUAUUAGGAAGUAACUAGAAUAUGUAGUGUAGCGGUGAAAUGCUUAGAUAUUACAUGGAAUACCAAUUGCGAAGGCAGGUUACUACUAAUGGAUUGACGCUGAUGGACGAAAGCGUGGGUAGCGAACAGGAUUAGAUACCCUGGUAGUCCACGCCGUANACGAUGGAUACUAGCUGUUCGGAGNCAUCUGAGUGGCUAAGCGAAAGUGAUAAGUAUCCCACCUGGGGAGUACGGGCGCAAGCCUGAAACUCAAAGGAAUUGACGGGGGCCCGCACAAGCGGUGGAGCAUGUGGUUUAAUUCGAUGAUACGCGAGGAACCUUA
This 907-nucleotide ribosomal RNA is filed under the name uncultured Bacteroidota bacterium. Its description in RNAcentral is "bacterial SSU rRNA". It matches the Rfam family "Bacterial small subunit ribosomal RNA", at positions 60 to 973 of the family's 1533-position model. The record is from RNAcentral. Lineage: Bacteria; Pseudomonadati; Bacteroidota.